AGGAAGCAGUGCUUGAUUUGAGGAGGAGACGGUGACAUUCCUAACAUGUGGGUGAAGGGAACCAAAACAGGAUGAAUCACUAUGAGCCAUGAUUGGGGAGCUUCUUACCAGGCCUUUGCCAGCCUUGGAGGCCAAGUUCUGUCUUUCAAGCUUAUUUCAUAUACAACCAAGGAGACUGUUUAUGCUUGGAAUGUUGCUCCUGCAAACUGGAAUGUACGGUUGACUAAGACAAAUGUGAACUUCCAUUGAUUAUUCGCUAUGACUCUUCUUUUACGUUCUUUUUCACUUCUUUUUGUAAGGGGGAGUCCCAUAUGGUUCUUGUUUAGCACUUUUUAUUUUUGGGCAAUUUUCUUUGUACUUUAUGAUGAAAAUGGAAUUUCACCUGCCAUAAUGAUGACUAGCAGAAGGUGCCAAAAUAACUU
Molecule: unclassified non-coding RNA, 422 nt
Filed under: Hevea brasiliensis (rubber tree)
Lineage: Eukaryota; Viridiplantae; Streptophyta; Magnoliopsida; Malpighiales; Euphorbiaceae
Source: RNAcentral